RNAcentral lists this unclassified non-coding RNA (379 nucleotides) under soil metagenome. RNAcentral describes it as "partial contains 5.8S ribosomal RNA, internal transcribed spacer 2, and large subunit ribosomal RNA". The stretch from base 1 to 120 matches the Rfam family "5.8S ribosomal RNA", at positions 35 to 154 of the family's 154-position model. The record is from RNAcentral.
GAUGAAGAACGUAGCGAAAUGCGAUAAGUAAUGUGAAUUGCAGAAUUCAGUGAAUCAUCGAAUCUUUGAACGCACCUUGCACCCUUUGGCAUUCCGAAGGGUAUGCUCGUUUGAGUGUCAUUGUACUCUCACACUUCCGAUCUUUGGAUUGGGAGCGGUGGACUUGGGUGUUGCUGCUUACUGUGGCUCACCUCAAAUCGAUUCGUGCACCUCUUGGUUGGACAUAGUACGGCGUGAUAAGUGUCUUCGCCGGCACCUCAGUAGAGGGUGGCUGAUCGGGAGCUCUGUGCUUCAAACCGUCCUCGGACAACAACUGACAACUUGACCUCAAAUCGAGUAGGACUACCCGCUGAACUUAAACAUAUCAAUAAGCGGAGGA